Molecule: long non-coding RNA, 2406 nt
Organism: Scylla paramamosain (green mud crab)
Lineage: Eukaryota; Metazoa; Arthropoda; Malacostraca; Decapoda; Portunidae
Exons: 2
Source: RefSeq, a predicted model, not a curated record
CAGAAUGGCCAGUUAAACAGCAAUGUGCAGAUCACUUACCGGAUAGAAUAGGCAUUACUAUGACAGUUGCUAAAGGACAUCUGAGAAAUUUAAGCAUGAUUAAUGUGAAAGGAUUUAGCAAAUAUGAAACUUUGUCGAGAGUUACAUGUAGGAUAAUGUCUAUAUUCAAACAUAAAUCCUUAAAAGCUGUGCUGAAGGAGCCUACGUCUGAGGAAAUGGAAGAAGCAGAAGUACUGUGGGUAAAAACCAUGCAAAGUAACAUGACUAACUGGCAAGACAGAUACAGAAGGUUAGGCCCCAUAAUGACAGACAAUGGAGUAAUUUUAGUGGGUCAAAGAAUAUCAAAAUGGUUAAAGGAAAACUGGAAUCAAGAUCACUUCAUGUUGAUACCAGCUAACCACCCAGUUACUAGACUGUAUGUGUCCAGCUUACAUAGUAGAGAUCAUGCAGGUAUUGAAACCACCUUGGCCAAGUUACAGAGUAAGUUUUGGGUGCCGGGAGCCAGGAAAUUAAUAAAGUCAAUUAAAGAUAAAUGUGUCACAUGUAGAAAACUCUCAAAACAAACUGAGAACCAGUGUAUGGGUCAGGUGUUAGAAGAAAGAAUGAAGCCAACUCCACCAUUCUAUCAUACUGCUGUCGAUUUGUUUGGACCAUUCAAUAUUAAGGACACUGUUAAAAGGAGAACUCAUGGUAAGGUAUAUGGGGUAAUAUUCAACUGCUUAGUUACUAGGGCAGUUUAUGUAGAUUUGGCAGAAGGAUAUAGUGCAAGUGAUUUCAUGGCAACUUAUCAAAGAUUCAUCUCAGUCAGGGGUGCACCCAGAAUACUGUAUUCUGACAGAGGGAGCCAGCUGAUAGCAGCUGGAAAGAAUAUUGAAAGAAUUGGAAAAAAUGAAGGAGUUACUUGGAAAUAUAAUAGACCUAGUGAUGCACCAUGGUACAAUGGUGCCAGUGAAUCCCUUAUCAAAUCAGUGAAAAGAAAUCUUUGUAUUGCAAUUGGGGAUUCAGUAUUAACUUUUGGUGAACUUCAGACAGCCUUAUUUAAUGUAGCCAGUAUGAUGAAUGAAAGACCCAUAGGGGUAAAACCUUGCUUUAAUUUAGAACUUGGUAAUUACCUCUGCCCUAAUGAUCUAUUGCUUGGACGAGCUAGUGUAAAAUGUCCACAGGGAAUAUAUGAUUCAGAUGGAGACCAUAAAAGAAGAUUAGAGUUUAUUCAGAAAAUUGUUGAAUCAUUUUGGAGAAAAUGGCAGAGAGAUUUCUUUCCAACGAUGGUAGUAAGACAAAAAUGGCACACCAAUAGGAGAAAUGUAAGAGUGGGUGAUGUGGUUUUAGUUCAAGAUGCUAAUGCAGUUAGAGGUACCUGGAAAUUAGCUCAAGUAAUAAAGGCAGAUCCAGGUCGUGAUGGUGCUGUAAGAGAUGUAGACUUAAGGUAUAAGAUAGUCAAGGAAGGUAAAGGAUAUGAUGGGGUGACAGACAAAGUCAUGAGUAGGUCAGUGCAUAGGUUAAUAGUGUUAUUACCUAAGGAAGAACAAGAGUGAUGAUGAGCGUGUAGGAUCAUUAUAGAUAUGAUUUAUCUACAUGUACCAAAGCAUUCUAUGUACUACCUGUGUAUAUUGUAUGUUCACUUUGGUCGGGGUGGAGUGUAUCAUUAAAAUGAUAUGUUAACCAUCUAUUAUUUAUUUAUACAAUAUAUUUUUGUUAUCUGUGUUAAAGAAAAUGUAAGUUGUGUUCUAUUGGAAUAGGAGAAGUUUGGUACGCUUCUUUGUGGUGUUUUGUUUCACCCACUACCUGUGAACAUGGUCGGCCUGGCGGGUUGUCUAAGCCGGCCCACCAAUGUACUGUGGGUUGUUGUGUUGGGUAGUCCUCUGUGCUACAGACGGAGAAUGUAGGGACGCCCUGGACCUCAUGUCGGUUGGUGUGUUGGUUGGUCCUCCGUGCUACAGGUUAGUUGUGUUUAUUUACCCGUCAUGUGCUGUGAUUAGUAUAAUUUGGUGAAGGUUACAAAAUUAGGAUGUAUUAGUAAGAUAGGGUAAUGUACAAGGGAUAUAUUGUUGCCAGACAGAGUUGUGAGGACGCCCUGGACUGGAUGAUAGUUGGGGUGACAUGUCAGGUGUGCUACGGGGAUUCGAAGAGCGUCAGUGUGGGCCACUGAAGUGAGUACAUUAUGGGAAUUUAUUGAGUAUUAUGAGUGAUAUACAAGUGAAGUUUAGUUGGAUUUUGUAUACUGAUUGUUGCUUUAUUUUUAUAUUUGGGAUAUGAUUGUAACGGAUGUCAGAAUCUCUACAUGAAGUGUUAUUUUCUUGGUACCAUUGUGAGGGAUUGAACUGGGUGUACUAUGAUAUGUGGAUGUGUAUUGAUUUGCCCAUGUUUGCAGGUCGAAACACUUCAAGCAAUAAACACCUGUUACGA